This is a non-coding RNA of Diaporthe citri, 73 nucleotides long. Lineage: Eukaryota; Fungi; Ascomycota; Sordariomycetes; Diaporthales; Diaporthaceae. The record is from the annotation of a RefSeq genome assembly.
GGCCGCGUGGCGCACUGGUUAUGCAUCUGGCUUCUCUCCACGGAGGGCGUAGGUUCAAACCCUGCCGCGGUUA